UACGUAGGGGGCAAGCGUUGUCCGGAUUUAUUGGGCGUAAAGAGCGUGUAGGCGGCUUUGCAAGUCCGCUGUGAAAACUCGAGGCUCAACCUCGAGACGGCGGUGGAAACUGCAAAGCUAGAGUCCGGAAGAGGAGAGUGGAAUUCCUGGUGUAGCGGUGAAAUGCGCAGAUAUCAGGAAGAACACCCGUGGCGAAAGCGGCUCUCUGGAACGGUACUGACGCUGAGGCGCGAAAGCGUGGGGAGCGAACAGG
This 253-nucleotide ribosomal RNA is filed under the name uncultured bacterium. RNAcentral's name for it is "partial 16S ribosomal RNA". It matches the Rfam family "Bacterial small subunit ribosomal RNA", at positions 524 to 776 of the family's 1533-position model. The record is from RNAcentral.